Molecule: ribosomal RNA, 493 nt
Filed under: uncultured bacterium
Lineage: Bacteria
Description: bacterial SSU rRNA
Rfam family: Bacterial small subunit ribosomal RNA
Source: RNAcentral
CGCUGGCGGCGCGUUUAAGCAUGCAAGUCGAGCGGCAAGGGCCUUCGGGCCCCUAGAGCGGCGACGGGUGAGUAACACGUGGACAAUCUGCCCCCCGGCCCGGGAUAGCCCAGGGAAACCUGGAUUAAUACCGGAUGAGACGGGACCCGCGAUGGCGGGAUCCGGGAAAGGCGCUGCGGCGCCGCCGGGGGAUGAGUCUGCGUCCCAUUAGCUAGACGGCGGGGUAACGGCCCACCGUGGCGACGAUGGGUAGCCGGCCUGAGAGGGUGGACGGCCACAUUGGAACUGAGACACGGUCCAGACUCCUACGGGAGGCAGCAGCUAAGAAUCUUCCGCAAUGGGCGAAAGCCUGACGGAGCCGACGCCGCGUGAACGAAGAAGGCCGUGAGGUUGUAAAGUUCUUUUCGGGAGGGGGAACAACCGUGGCAGGGAAUGGCCGCGGGAUGACGUGAAUCCCGGAAUAAGCCCCGGCUAACUACGUGCCAGCCGCCGC